RNAcentral lists this ribosomal RNA (497 nucleotides) under uncultured bacterium. RNAcentral describes it as "partial 16S ribosomal RNA". It matches the Rfam family "Bacterial small subunit ribosomal RNA", at positions 28 to 507 of the family's 1533-position model. The record is from RNAcentral.
GAUGAACGCUGGCGGCGUGCCUAAUACAUGCAAGUCGAGCGAACAGACGAGGAGCUUGCUCCUCCGACGUUAGCGGCGGACGGGUGAGUAACACGUGGAUAACCUACCUAUAAGACUGGGAUAACUUUGGGAAACCGGAGCUAAUACCGGAUAAUAUAUUGAACCGCAUGGUUCAAUAGUGAAAGACGGUUUUGCUGUCACUUAUAGAUGGAUCAGCGCCGCAUUAGCUAGUUGGUAAGGUAACGGCUUACCAAGGCAACGAUGCGUAGCCGACCUGAGGGGGUGAUCGGCCACACUGGAACUGAGACACGGUCCAGACUCCUACGAGAGGCAGCAGUAGGGAAUCUUCCGCGAUGGGCGAAAGCCUGACGGAGCAACGCCGCGUGAGUGAUGAAGGUCUUCGGAUCGUAGAACUCUGUUAUUAGGGAAGAACAAAUGUGUAAGUAACUAUGCACGUCUUGACGGUACCUAAUCAAAAAGUCACGGCUAACUACGUG